UCCCCACCGUGUUCAGGGACAACCCUGUGAUCAUGGUUUUGGUCACAUAGCUUCCAAGUGAGUGUUGUGCAAACAUUUGCUAGGAUCUCUCGGGGAGCCUGUUAGAAAAGAAACUCCUGAGCCUGCUCCAGAGCUUCUGUUCAGCAGGCCUGAGGUGGGACCAUACACCUGUCUUUUCAGCAAGCCCCCCCCCACCUCUGAGGAUGCACCCCAAAGCUAGAGAAUUCCUGCUCUGAGCCAUCUCUGAAAGCACCAAGAGCCAGCUCACGGAGGAGAUGCCAGCUCACGGAGGAAAAUCUGGAAGGUGUUGAAGCAUAGACGCUGGAACAUAAAAUGACUCAUGAUCUCACUGGGAGAAGGGCUGGGAACAUCGUGGGCUCUCUUCUCCCCGCGCUCCUCUCUCCGGGUCUCUGUUUCCCUCAUUCCACGAUGUUUAGAACCAUCGGCGCACUACAUCAGACUAGAGGUCUGGGGUCACCCGACCAUCCCGCCACAAGCCCCUCCGAGGCAUCACUGUGUCCAGAUUUUGCAAACUGCACCUCCUGAAGGGGCUGGGGUCUGUCCACUUCGCCCCAUCUGCCGUGGCAGCACUUCCUCCGUGGUUCGCACCCCCACAGCAGCCUCCUGGGAAGGCACCUCCCUGGGGCCCCUCUCAGUCCACGGUGUGGAUAUGGCAGCAAGCUAUGCAUUUUGCAUAUAUUAGCAAAUCCAUGAGGCAGGUGCUGUCUUCAUUGUACAGGUGAGGAGCCUGAAGCUCAGAGAGGUGAAGGAACAUCCUCAAGGCCACGCUCUGAAAUCAACAAAAGAUACAUCAGUUUAUUGUGGGAAACAUCAGAACAUGCAGAGAUAUUAACAAAGAGAAGUCACUCAGAGAUGACUGUCAUUAACAUUUUGGUGUAUUUCUUCGUAGACAUUUUCCUAUGUCUCUGCAUAGUAACAUACUGUCCAGAGUGCUUGUAAUCUGCUAGACGGUUUGAUGAGACCAAGUUUUCAUGGUAUUAGCCACGGCAAUAUUUGUAUUCAUAUUUUAGGGUAUGGCUGAACUGAAAUUUGCUUUUGCUCAACUCAGCCCCUCUUGUGAACAUUAGGCACUUUGCACUUCACCUGCUGAAAACGUGGUAGUCAUAAACACGCUGGUAGCUCAAUCGUCCCACCUAUCUUUACUAUGUUAUUCAUUCCUAGCAGUGGGGCCUGGGUCAAAAGUUCUGCAGGGUUUUAAGGCUUUGGAUCAGUGGUUCGGGAUUGUCCUCUGGGACGGGCUGAGAAGCACACAUGCCUGCCGGUGGUGACAAGCAUUCCUUCCUAGUGCAGAGUCAGGUCUGCACCUGGCACCCCCUACCCAUCCAGGUUGGGUCCCUGGCAUUCAGUUAUGUGGAACAGACCAGAAAAAUUAAAAAAGAACCCCCUCCCGCAUCUUCCCCGAAGGACCACUGGCCUGCUGUCUCUCCCCGCACUCCCCCACUGGAGUUCAUACCCACUGAAUCACGACCCCCUUGUGGCUAAGCCCUGGUGCGCCACCCUGCAAAAUCAAAGGUGGUGUCUAGGCACAGAAAUGGCUCCGUGACCUAUGUCCCCUUUGUUCUAAUCUAGAAUCCAGCCAGGAGUAUGCGUGUCAGAAGCCAGGGGUGAUUGUGUUUUUUCUCCUUCCUCUUUCUUUAGGUCAGGAAGAUUCCUGCAGCUGCUGAGUUAGUACUUUUAAGAAAGUACUGGAUUCCCUCUCACAAUGGGACUUUGAUUUUUUUAAGAAAAAGGUUUCAUAAGUUUUCAAAUAACCUGGAGCAGUUGAGCAAACUUAAUGUGCAGCGUGGUCCCUGCUGGCUGGGUUUGAGGGGCUGGGUCUCUCUGAGUGGAUGCUGGUGAGGUGCAGAGGAAGAAGAAAAGGUGCCUGAGGGCCUGUGUGGAAGGCCUGUCACACAGCACAUCCUGGGAAAUCUGUCCAGGAAGCAGCCAGGCGGGCAUCAGCCAGGCGGGCAUCAGCAUCUUCACUGUGCAGAUGAGAAACUGAGGCCGCAGAGGUGAAGGGACAUGCCCAGGAUCACUAAGGCAAGACGGGGGAAGAGCAGAGAUCUUGGGCAUGAUCUCGGCUCACUGCAACCUCCACCUCCCAGGUUCAAGGGAUUCUCCUGCUUCAGCCU
This 2135-nucleotide long non-coding RNA is filed under the name Homo sapiens (human). RNAcentral's name for it is "HSALNT0379404". The record is from RNAcentral. Lineage: Eukaryota; Metazoa; Chordata; Mammalia; Primates; Hominidae.